This 428-nucleotide ribosomal RNA is filed under the name uncultured bacterium. Its description in RNAcentral is "partial 16S ribosomal RNA". It matches the Rfam family "Bacterial small subunit ribosomal RNA", at positions 354 to 796 of the family's 1533-position model. The record is from RNAcentral.
GUGAGGAAUUUUCCGCAAUGGGCGCAAGCCUGACCCAGCAACGCCGCGUGAGGGAAGAAGGCUUUCGGGUUGUAAACCUCUGUCCUUGGUGACGAAAAAAAUGACGGUAGCCAAGGAGGAAGCCCCGGCUAACUACGUGCCAGCAGCCGCGGUAAUACGUAGGGGGCGAGCGUUGUCCGGAAUUACUGGGCGUAAAGGGUGCGUAGGUGGCCUUUUAAGUUGGAUGUGAAAUACCCGGGCUUAACUUGGGGGGUGCAUCCAAAACUGGGAGGCUAGAGUGCAGGAGAGGAAAGCGGAAUUCCUAGUGUAGCGGUGAAAUGCGUAGAUAUUAGGAGGAACACCAGUGGCGAAGGCGGCUUUCUGGACUGUAACUGACACUGAGGCACGAAAGCGUGGGGAGCAAACAGGAUUAGAAACCCUAGUAGUCC